RNAcentral lists this unclassified non-coding RNA (422 nucleotides) under Hevea brasiliensis (rubber tree). Lineage: Eukaryota; Viridiplantae; Streptophyta; Magnoliopsida; Malpighiales; Euphorbiaceae. The record is from RNAcentral.
UUCCUCUUCAAUCCGCAGAAGCUGCAACCAAAUUAAUACCCAAAAAAGAAGUUACAAACACAACAAACAAAAGUUUACAGAGAUUUGAAAUUAUUAACAAACAAGAUUAAAGUACUAAAAAAUGUUUAAGAGAAGCACACCACUCUCUGGGAGAUUGGUUCAAGUCCGUUGGCCGUCAAUUAAGAUAAACAAUUAGCCUUGUUACUCAUGAUCCCAGAAAGGUCUUUUAUAUAGUAUGUUCUCAAAAUUAUAACCUCAGUCAAUUAUUUCUCAUAUCAACACCUUAGUCUCAACAUUAUCUCUAGCUACUUGUUCAGCCCCCUUAGCCUACAAUGUAAACUGGAAUGCCUUUGGAAUAAUGGAGAAUGCUACUUAUUCAGUAAGUUGUUACAGUCUACCUGAUUAUACUUGGCCAAUCGCUC